AUUGAACGCUGGCGGAAUGCUUUACACAUGCAAGUCGAACGGCAGCACGGGUGCUUGCACCUGGUGGCGAGUGGCGAACGGGUGAGUAAUACAUCGGAACGUACCCUGACGUGGGGGAUAACGUAGCGAAAGUUACGCUAAUACCGCAUACGUCCUGAGGGAGAAAGCAGGGGAUCGUAAGACCUUGCGCGUUAGGAGCGGCCGAUGGCGGAUUAGCUAGUUGGUAGGGUAAAGGCCUACCAAGGCGACGAUCCGUAGCGGGUCUGAGAGGACGACCCGCCACACUGGAACUGAGACACGGUCCAGACUCCUACGGGAGGCAGCAGUGGGGAAUUUUGGACAAUGGGCGAAAGCCUGAUCCAGCCAUUCCGCGUGAGUGAAGAAGGCCUUCGGGUUGUAAAGCUCUUUCGGCAGGGAAGAAACGGUUUUGGAUAAUACCCAGAACUAAUGACGGUACCUGAAGAAGAAGCACCGGCUAACUACGUGCCAGCCGCCGCCGUAA
This 502-nucleotide ribosomal RNA is filed under the name uncultured bacterium. RNAcentral's name for it is "partial 16S ribosomal RNA". It matches the Rfam family "Bacterial small subunit ribosomal RNA", at positions 30 to 523 of the family's 1533-position model. The record is from RNAcentral.